This 499-nucleotide ribosomal RNA is filed under the name uncultured bacterium. RNAcentral describes it as "partial 16S ribosomal RNA". It matches the Rfam family "Bacterial small subunit ribosomal RNA", at positions 28 to 507 of the family's 1533-position model. The record is from RNAcentral.
GACGGACGCUGGCGGCGUGCCUAAUACAUGCAAGUCGAGCGGACCAAACAGGAGCUUGCUCUUGUUUGGUUAGCGGCGGACGGGUGAGUAACACGUGGGUAACCUGCCCGUAAGACCGGGAUAACUCCGGGAAACCGGAGCUAAUACCGGAUAACACCGAAGACCGCAUGGUCUUUGGUUGAAAGGCGGCUUCGGCUGCCACUUACGGAUGGGCCCGCGGCGCAUUAGCUAGUUGGUGAGGUAACGGCUCACCAAGGCGACGAUGCGUAGCCGGCCUGAGAGGGUGACCGGCCACACUGGGACUGAGACACGGCCCAGACUCCUACGGGAGGCAGCAGUAGGGAAUCUUCCGCAAUGGACGAAAGUCUGACGGAGCGACGCCGCGUGAGCGAAGAAGGUCUUCGGAUCGUAAAGCUCUGUUGUUAGGGAAGAAGAAGCGCCGUUCGAACAGGGCGGCGCGGUGACGGUACCUAACGAGAAAGCCCCGGCUAACUACGUG